Molecule: ribosomal RNA, 253 nt
Filed under: uncultured bacterium
Lineage: Bacteria
Description: partial 16S ribosomal RNA
Rfam family: Bacterial small subunit ribosomal RNA
Source: RNAcentral
UACGGGGGGGGCAAGCGUUGUCCGGAAUUACUGGGCGUAAAGGGCUCGUAGGCGGCCAACUAAGUCAUACGUGAAAUCCCUCGGCUUAACCGGGGAACUGCGUCUGAUACUGGAUGGCUUGAGAUUGGGAGAGGGAUGCGGAAUUCCAGGUGUAGCGGUGAAAUGCGUAGAUAUCUGGAGGAACACCGGUGGCGAAGGCGGCAUCCUGGACCAACACUGACGCUGAGGAGCGAAAGCCAGGGGAGCAAACGGG